This 560-nucleotide ribosomal RNA is filed under the name Hesperomyces parexochomi. RNAcentral describes it as "SSU rRNA". It matches the Rfam family "Eukaryotic small subunit ribosomal RNA", at positions 347 to 911 of the family's 1831-position model. Lineage: Eukaryota; Fungi; Ascomycota; Laboulbeniomycetes; Laboulbeniales; Laboulbeniaceae. The record is from RNAcentral. RNAcentral also lists the same sequence under 1 other name.
UGCUUUUGACGGGUAACGGGGAAUUAGGGUUCGACUCCGGAGAGGGAGCCUGAGAAACGGCUACCACAUCCAAGGAAGGCAGCAGGCGCGCAAAUUACCCAAUCCCGAUACGGGGAGGUAGUGACAAGAAAUACCGAUUCAGGAUCUUAUUGGAUCUUGAGAUUGGAAUGAGUACAAUUCAAACCCAUUAACGAGGAACAACUAGAGGGCAAGUCUGGUGCCAGCAGCCGCGGUAAUUCCAGCUCUAGUAGCGUAUAUUAAAAUUGUUGCAGUUAAAACGCUCGUAGUUGAACUUUGGGCUUGGCUGGCUGGUCCGCCUCACCGCGUGCACUGGUCCGGCUGGGCCUUUCCUCUUGGGGAUCCACAUGCCCUUCACUUGGGUGUGUUGGGGAACCAGGACUUUUACUUUGAAAAAAUUAGGGUGUUCAAAGCAGGCAUUUGCUCGAAUACAUUAGCAUGGGAUAAUAGAAUAGGACGUGUGGUCUUAUUUUGUUGGUUUCUAGGACCGCCGUAAUGAUUGAUAGGGAUAGUUGGGGGCAUCGGUAUUCAAUUGUCAGAGG